Molecule: small RNA, 569 nt
Filed under: Alternaria papavericola
Lineage: Eukaryota; Fungi; Ascomycota; Dothideomycetes; Pleosporales; Pleosporaceae
Description: eukaryotic LSU rRNA
Rfam family: 5.8S ribosomal RNA (bases 212-365)
Source: RNAcentral
UGCGGAGGGAUCAUUACACAAUAUGAAAGCGGGCUGGAUCCCCCUAGCAGUGCGUUGCUUUGCGGCGUGCGCUGUUGGGGCCAGCCUUGCUGAAUUAUUCACCCGUGUCUUUUGCGUACUUCUUGUUUCCUUGGUGGGUUCGCCCACCACAAGGACAAAUCAUUAAACCUUUUGUAAUUGCAAUCAGCGUCAGUAACAACAUAAUAAUUACAACUUUCAACAACGGAUCUCUUGGUUCUGGCAUCGAUGAAGAACGCAGCGAAAUGCGAUAAGUAGUGUGAAUUGCAGAAUUCAGUGAAUCAUCGAAUCUUUGAACGCACAUUGCGCCCUUUGGUAUUCCAAAGGGCAUGCCUGUUCGAGCGUCAUUUGUACCCUCAAGCUUUGCUUGGUGUUGGGCGUCUUGUCUCCAGUUCGCUGGGGACUCGCCUUAAAGUUAUUGGCAGCCGGCCUACUGGUUUCGGAGCGCAGCACAAGUCGCGCUCUCUUCCAGCCAAGGUCAGCAUCCACAAAGCCUUUUUUCAACUUUUGACCUCGGAUCAGGUAGGGAUACCCGCUGAACUUAAGCAUAU